Molecule: ribosomal RNA, 403 nt
Filed under: uncultured bacterium
Lineage: Bacteria
Description: bacterial SSU rRNA
Rfam family: Bacterial small subunit ribosomal RNA
Source: RNAcentral
AGGGAAUAUUGCACAAUGGGCGAAAGCCUGAUGCAGCAACGCCGCGUGCACGAUGAAGGCCUUCGGGUCGUAAAGUGCUUUUCGGGGAGAUGAGGAAGGACAGUAUCCCCGGAAUAAGUCUCGGCUAACUACGUGCCAGCAGCCGCGGUAACACGUAGGAGGCAAGCGUUAUCCGAAUUUACUGGGCGUAAAGCGCGUGCAGGCGGUUCGGUAAGUUGGAUGUGAAAUCUCCUGGCUCAACUGGGAGAGGUCGUUCAAUACUGUCGGACUAGAGGAUGGUAGAGGGAGGUGGAAUUCCCGGUGUAGUGGUGAAAUGCGUAGAUAUCGGGAGGAACACCAGUGGCGAAAGCGGCCUCCUGGACCAUUCCUGACGCUCAGACGUGAAAGCUAGGGGAGCGAACGG